UCUUACUUGCGCAGACUAGUCUCUGAGGGAUCCGGGACCCAAGAUGGCUCCCUCACCUCGAGAUUCCCACUUUCAUAUCUUGUACUUCUUGUAUUCUGUUAAUGAUGCUUGCUGUAGUUCCUGUUUGUUUACCUAGAUUUUUCAUUUCCAGAAUUCCUUCAGUUUGUGCUUUCUUAAUUCCUUCUGUAUCUGUUUUUAUGACUUGAACAGUUUCCUUUACCUGUUUGUGUUUUCUUGUUAUUCUUUAAGGGAUAGAUUGAUUUACCCUAAUAUAUUGUUUGUCUUUUGCUCUAUUUCUUUAAAGGAUUUUUUUUCAUUUUCUUUUUCAUCUCCAUAAAGUUGGUUUUAAGUUCAUUUUCCCAGGUUUCACCUGUGAUGGAAUAUUCAGGUGUUGCAGUUAUAAGCUAGCUUGGCCUUUGGUGCAGCAUGUGGACUUCUGACUGGUGUGGCCAGCAUCUGAACAGGGUCUUCUGGAGUUGGGGACAGAUGCCUCUCAGUGGCGUGGGCAGUGAAGUAGAAGGGGGCAGUGGACUUGAUCUGUGGGAACUGAAUCGAGAGAGUUGGCGGUUCAGCUGGUGGCGGUCACUUCCCUAUUCUUCUGACUGCUGUGGCCUCCGCUGUCCAUCUUCCUGUGACUGACCAUGUUCUCCCUCAGCUUGGUCAGCACAGUGUAGUGAUUAUGAAAAACUGCAUCAUUAUCCAAAUUUAAAAUAUUUGAAUAUAUCUUGCAGAGAAAGUCAUGAAAUUUUUAAGGACAAUGAUACUGUUUAAUAUAGUAUUUAGUACAGUAAGUCUUUCGGAAAAACCAAAGUGAGUAAGUGAAUGAAUAAAUGAAUGAAUGCAAUGUGUCACAGACUAAAAUAUGAAAGUAUGCAGAAGUGUUUUCAACAAUAACAAUAAAAUUGAAAUAACACUUUAGAAUGGAUAGCCAGCAAAAUGCAAAAUGCAAAAUGACAAUGGUAAGUCCUCCUCCCUGCUUGUGGAUCAUGGCCUGCAUCCCCUGUGCAGAGGUGAGAGCUCCUAACAGCUGAUAACUGAUCUCUCUUUGAAGCCUCCCUCCUUAGCCACCCUGCCCCCCCCCUUUUGGGCUCCCAGACUUUCACCUAUUUAAGCUUCUUUCCUCAUAAACUCUUAUGCUUCACCCUGUCUGUUUCUUUUAUCCCAGUUAUUGGAUUUCCUGACACCUUACUGCAGGAUCCUCUUAUCACUAUGGCCAUGGGCUUUUAGGGUCUUAGUGACAGAAUUCACUGGCAUGCAUUCCUUUGAUGUAGGUAGUAGACAGAGAAGAGUGCCCAUCACUAACAAACAAGUGUCCUGGACCUCCAAGCAGGGGAAAAAGGAAAACCUUUUGUAGUCUUUUUGUUGUUGUUUGUUCUGUUUUAGACAUGGCUUAGAUCAGGUGAAAUAAAGUAAGAGUUUUGAGCUCAGGUCAGCACAUGCAGAAGCAAAUACUAAACGCUCUGGAGGCUUCCGUUUCUUUAAGUCCCAGCUGAGAGGCCCCAGCUAAGAGGCUUGCUUCUAUUUGAACGGUCCAGGAAGUGUUGCCCAGUGUUACACUGCUUUGCGAAGGCAAACACAUGAGAAUUAAAUCUGAACAUUUCUGUUCUGAAUGUCAAAAAGCAAAUUUUUAAAUCCAAAAUACACCUUUGGCUGUCUUCUUUUAGGGAGGAUAUUUAAAGUAAAACCAAUGUGCUUUGGAGCAAAGGGAACUUACUACUUAAAUCACCUGUUGCUGUUAGAAAUUGAGAGUAAAUAUUUGACUUUAUUACUCUAAAUGGAGUCACGUGUUUCAAAAAGUAGAGUCGACUUUUAGCAGGUCAGCCAUAUCUCUUUGGAAGUAUAUAAGGAGCUCCAAUGACAUUUUAUCAAGAGGUUUGCAGUAUGCACAUUUUAAAACUUUCAUCCCCCUGGGUCCCUUUUUAAAAGACACUGUAAAUUACAAGAAACUUAAGAAAGCCAAGACUGUCAGCAUGCUGGAGAUAGUUGGUAGUGCUUCCUUCAUGGCCCUGGUGCUUCAUGGCCUCUGUUAAACCCCUACUUCCAUAAUUAGAAUUGGAGGAGUGACUUGAACAGACAUCAAGAAACUGAUUGUCAGAGUGUCGAAUAACUAAAACAGAGACAAUUAGAAAUCAGGAUAGUACACAGAAAGGACACAGUCCCUAAGGUAACCAGAUCAGAGGGAGGAAUGGGGGACUGUGGACCAGUUUUAGAGGUUUCAGCCUGAGGAAGACUGACCAGUGGCUAGGUAAAUCACCAUGCAUGGCUUCUGUGGAAGAAAGCUUUUUUCAUAACAGGGCUCAGGAUACAAAACGGGGGUCGGGGUGGGGGGCAGGUCUGUGUUCCCAGUUGUCCCUUUAAGGACACUGGGCUCAACCUAUUGCAGCUCCACCACUUUCCAGCAGUAUCAUAGGAUUGCCCUCAACAGUUUGGUUUGGGGAAAGAGAAAAAGUAACAUUGCAGUGAAUAAUUGUUACAAAAUAGUAAAAUAAUAAAAUCUAUUACCAACUGAACUUUUGUUUUUAGAAAGAAAUAUGUGGAGACUGGAGAGAUGGCUCAUUGUCAUCAUAUGACAUCAUAUGACAUCACAUGUCAUCAUAUGACAGCUCACAACUAUCUAAUGCUGUCUUCUAGUAUGCAGAUGUACAUGCAAACAACGUACAUAACAUAGAUAAAUAAAUAAAUCUUUUUUUAGAAAAGAAAUAUAUGAAGAAAAAAAGAUCCGGAUUCUUCUGUGUGUUGUGUUUACUAACACAGAAGAUUUUUUGUCCAUUUUGUGCACCUGUAUAAAAAUGGUUUGAAAGCCAGUAGUUCUAGUUUUUAUUCUAAAAUAAAAUUUAACUUCUAGUGGUAUAGUUAGUAUUAUAUGUGUAUGUGGCAAAAAAAAUGUUUCUAAACUUUAUGAUUUUUAUUGAUACCACUUCCAACUCAUAUUUGAAUUUAGAGAUCAUUCUUUUAAUUGUUUUUAAACAUUUCAUUGCCAAUAAUAUUAGCGCUAUUAUAAUUGCCUGUCAUUUUGUGAUGAUACCCUAGUAACGGAUAGGUUGUUUAUAAGUAAACAUUUCAGUUCUCUGAGUACUUCAUAAGUCUACAUAGACCCUUGUUUUUAGUUGAUCAAAGAAGUAAACCUUUUUUACAGUUGGCAUCAAUAUAAGACUAAUACUGGCUUACUUUCCCUCCAUAGGUUCUGCAGUUAUGUCGUCAUAUAUAAUAUCUAUGUCACGGCCACAUGUCUGUAACUCCGGGGAGGAAAACUGUAUACUUUUCAUGCACCCCCAUGUGAAGGCUUCUGAGCAUACUUUUCAAAUUGGAUAGAAUUGCUUCCCAUCCCAGUCAUGUGUUCUCUGUCUGUCUCUGUCUCUCUCUGUCUCUGUCUCUCUCUCUCUCUGUCUCUCUCUCUCUCUGUCUCUCUCUUCUUCCCUCUUCCUCCUCAUCUUCCUCCCUCUUCCUCUUCCUCUCCUCCUCCUCCUCUUUCUCCUUCUCCUCCUCCUCCUUCUCCUUCUCCUCCUCCUCCUUCUCCUUCUUCAUGUGUGUGAGUGUGUAUGUGUGUGUAUUGAUUGUAUUGGACAUUGACAACAAUGAAUAAUAAUUCAAUAAUAGUUCAUUAAUCAAUAUUUUAACUAGGUACAACAGAAGAUGAUGGUAAUGAAAAAUGCCUCUUAUUUUCAUAUGUCAAGUGAAGACAUUACAACUUUUAUGAAAAUGUAAGCAAUAGUAUCAAGAUUCCCAUGGUGAAGAAAUGGAACCUCAGAGACUGCUAUUAGUCAUGACUAAGGUCUUAAAUUUGAAACAAAUGCUUUGAUUGUCAGACUAUACAUUUUCAAACUGAAACAAUGGGUGGAUGAUUUUCAUCUCAAAUCAUCUAGCUAUAGAAAAGUCUCUUAAGGAGAAUUGAACUACUGAGUUUCUAUAAAGAGGCUUUAACGUCUAAUGACAUUAUCAGAAUUCCAAAGUUGUUGUUUCUUUUUUGAUUGGAUGCCUUCAUUUAUUCACAAAAGUAAGUUAAUAGAAAAGAAAUUUGUUUUUCUUUGACACUAAGCAUUAUAGCAUAUUUUGGAUAGUUAUUUAAGAAAUGUCUUUAUGUUAUUAUAUACUACAUAUCAACGUUUUAAAAAGCUUGUUCUUGAAGUUUUGGAUCGAGUAGAGUAGUUGUGGGGUGGCAUCUGUUGUUUCCGUGAAUUCUGAAGCCUCUGCGUGAUAGUGUGCCUGAGCUGCUACCCCAGAUCAUCCAGCUUUGGCUGUAAAAGUUCUGCACAAAGCAGCCAUGAAUGGGGCUGAGGAGACACCCACACACACAGAGUGCAGCCAUGCACUGUGUGUUCUGUGCAGUGCUAAGAUAUCUAAUCAUGAGUAGACAGAGAAACAUUCCCCAGUUAAAUGUCAAUGAAUGUGUAGUAGGCUGAAUCAUAUACAUGAAAAUAAGCAUCCGCAAAUGAACAGUUCAGUCUGCAUACACGUGUAUGCGUUCACCAGUUUCUGUUCAGUUCCAAAGUCGUCCCAUAUUUCUAAAGUAGAGUCAUUUUUCUACAGAUGUCCAGAUUCUCCCCUUCUCUUGGUUCCCUAGACCUGGGCAGCCUUCACUCGGUAUUUCAACUGUGUCGAUGUAGCUAUUCAUUCCAUUGAGAUGAAAUGAGAAUGGACUUCUUUCUGUCUGGCUUCUUCCCUUUACCUUUGUGCUAAGAGUGCACCAAUUGUUUAUUACCUUUUAUAGCUGAGUAAUUUUUCCAUAGUAUGUAUAACCUCGAGUCUGUUUAAUUAUUUCCCAUUAAUGGGCGUUUGGGCUACUAUUAUUACUCAGAAGCCAUUUACCGAACAUAUUAUUUCCUCACAAGUCAUCUCUAAAAUCAUUUGAAUUGGAGCAGCUUCUAUCUCAAUGGGAGAACCUUAUUGGGCAGAAUCUAGUGUCAGACUGAAAUGAAGAGUAAUUCUUGUACUGGACUUCCUGAAAUGUGUGGGCAUCUUACUUUGGUAAAUGAUUCAGAACAUAUAUUGAUUAUAUGUACUAUACCAAAAUUAAAUUCUAUUUCAUUUUUACUAUUUUAAAAAGAAGUUUGAUUUCAUGUAUUUAUAAUAGUCAACAAAACACAAAAUGACCAGCAUUGUAAGAUACCCCUAAAGGUAAUAGUAGUGCUUAGUAUCUUGGCAGUAAACAACAGCUGUGUAAGUGUACUUGAAGCUCAAGGAGGAGGGACAUCAUUCCUGAUACUAUAUUCCUAGCCAAAACCAUAUGGUUAGUGAGGUCAUUUUCUGAAAUUAAUAAUCCCUAACUGCACUCUAAAUACUUAUUCUUAUAGAUAAGUAUUUACUUAAGUAAGAUAAUACCAACAGAUAAGGAUAGAUACUACUUUUCAUCAAAGAAGCUUGUCUUUAUCAUAAACAGAGACAUUACAGAAAGCUUCAACCAGUCAAAAUACAGAGAACACUGUGGGAUGCCCAGCUUAGUUGAUGCAUUUUCAGCACAAUUACUGUUUAGGAGCAUGGAAGAGGAGGUGAAAUGAUUUUAAGAUCCAAAGACUAGAAAGUCUUUAAUCAAAUGAUGAUGAGGUUGUGAAGCAAGGGGAAUACUCCUCCACUGCUGAUGGGGGUGCAAACUUGAAAAAUCACUUUGGAAAUCAACUUAACAGUUUCUCAGAAAAUUGGUAGUAGUUCUUCCUCAAGAUACUGUUCCAUCAUACCACAAGGACAUUUGCUCAACCAUGUUCAUUGCUCCUUUAUUUGUAAUAGCUUGAAACUAGAAACAACCUAAAUGUUCAUCAACCAUGCUGCAAUCCACAAACCAAAGAAGCUAAGUAUCAGGGAGGGCCCAAAGGAAGAUGCUUGAAUCUCACUCAAAAGGGGAUAUAAAAGAGACAUGGGAGGUGGAUGGAUGGAGGGAACAGGAUAGAGAUAAGAUGUGGGAAACUUGGAGGAGAUGGGUUGCAGGAAAGGGCUGGGAGAGAGAAUAGAAAUGGGGGAGGGAUAUCUCUGAAAAGAGCCAGAAACCUGAGACUCUAGCAGCUGAAGAAAUAGAAACGGAAGUGGCCACCUCCUGUAGCCAGGUAGGACUUCCAGUGGAGGGUGUGGGGCAUCAAUUUAUCCAUCCACAAUACCUUCAAUCUCAUCUGUCCUCACUACAAGAUGUAUAGGGAUAAAGACAGAGCAGAAACUGAGAAGAGUCAAGCAAUCACUGUUCCAACUUGAGAUCCAUCCCAUGGGAGAGUAUCCACCCCUGACACUAUUAAUGAUACUUUCCUAUGCUUGUAAACAGGAGCCUAGCAUAACUAUCUCCUGAGAGCUUCAUCCAGCAGUAGAUGGAAACAAAUACAGAGACCCACAUCCAAACAAUAGGCAGAGCUUGGAAGACAUGUGGAAGAGUGCUGGGAAGGGUUAAGGGGUAGUGAGAGGUCAAGGAUACCACAAGACCACCUACAGAAUCCACUACCCUGGACCCAUGAAGGUCACAGAGAAAAAUUAAGGAAGUAAAAGUCCCAUCUAACUAUGAUAGGAAAGCUGCAACCAUAAAAUCUCAACAAGAUGGCUGCCUUAAAAGGGCCUGAACAGGGGAUGGUGGAAGAACUCGGAGAGAGGGGAUCAGCGGUGGGGGGCAGCAUCUGGGAUGUAAAUGAAAUAAUUAUUUUUUUAAAAAGGGUCCAAACAAUUCCAGCAGUUGACAUGUUACAUAAAUAAGGGAAAUCCCAAUCCCUAGAUGAAGAGCUAUGGACAGUAAACAACUGCUUAGAGUCAAAUUAAAUAACCAAUCUCUUGAUUGGUUAUCCAAUACCAAGUGGUCAGGCUGAGAGACAUACAUGGAGGCAACAUUGAACAGACUCAACAGUUAGUAUAUUUAGGUUUAUUUGUCUAUAUGUGUAUGUAACAACAAUGGUUAAAGAAUAAGAAGCCAUGAAUUUGAGGGAGGGUAGAUGGAAGGAGUAGAUG
Molecule: long non-coding RNA, 6912 nt
Organism: Mus musculus (house mouse)
Lineage: Eukaryota; Metazoa; Chordata; Mammalia; Rodentia; Muridae
Product: predicted gene, 39807
Exons: 2
Source: RefSeq, a predicted model, not a curated record